This 1566-nucleotide ribosomal RNA is filed under the name Hucho taimen (taimen). RNAcentral's name for it is "bacterial LSU rRNA". It matches the Rfam family "Bacterial large subunit ribosomal RNA", at positions 635 to 2183 of the family's 2925-position model. The record is from RNAcentral. Lineage: Eukaryota; Metazoa; Chordata; Actinopteri; Salmoniformes; Salmonidae.
CAUCGGCAAGCUUAACCGGAAUAAGGGGAGGCGUAGCGAAAGCGAGUCUUAAUAGGGCGAAAUAGUCGGUGGGUGUAGACCCGAAACCGGAUGAUCUAUCCAUGGCCAGGGUGAAGGUUGGGUAAAACCAACUGGAGGCCCGAACCCACUAAUGUUGCAAAAUUAGGGGAUGAGCUGUGGAUAGGAGUGAAAGGCUAAUCAAAUCCGGAGAUAGCUGGUUCUCCCCGAAAUCUAUUGAGGUAGAGCCUUGUGUGAUGAGUGUUGGGGGUAGAGCACUGUUAUGGUUGUGGGGGUCAUUGCGACUUACUGCGCCAUAGUAAACUCCGAAUACCAACAAGAUCUAACACAGGAGACAGUCUUAGGGUGCUAACGUCCUAGGACGAGAGGGAAACAACCCAGACCGUCGGCUAAGGUCCCAAAGUAUAGUUAAGUGGUAAACGAGGUGGGAAGGUUUAGACAGCCAGGAGGUUGGCUUAGAAGCAGCCAUCCUUUAAAGAAAGCGUAAUAGCUCACUGGUCGAGUCUUCCUGCGCGGAAGAUGUAACGGGGCUAAAACUAUAUGCCGAAGCUGCGGAUUUGCAAUUUAUUGCAAGUGGUAGGGGAGCGUUCUGUAAGCCGAUGAAGGUGUAUUGAGAAGUAUGCUGGAGGUAUCAGAAGUGCGAAUGCUGACGUGAGUAACGACAAUGCGAGUGAAAAACUCGCACGCUGAAAGACCAAGGGUUCCAGUCCAACGUUAAUCGGGGCUGGGUGAGUCGACCCCUAAGGCGAGGCCGAGAGGCGUAGUCGAUGGGAAAUUGGUUAAUAUUCCAAUACUUCUAUGUAAUGCGAUGAGAGGACGGAGAAGGUUAAGUCAGCCUGGCGUUGGUUGUCCAGGUGGAAGGUUGUAGGCAUGUAUCUUAGGCAAAUCCGGGGUACUCUAUGCUGAGAACUGAUAGCAAGCUGUACUUGUACAGUGAAGUGGCUGAUACCAUGCUUCCAGGAAAAGUCUCUAAGCUUCAGUUACACAGGAAUCGUACCCGAAACCGACACAGGUGGUCAGGUCGAGUAGACCAAAGCGCUUGAGAGAACUCUGCUGAAGGAACUAGGCAAAAUGGUACCGUAACUUCGGGAGAAGGUACGCUGUUGUCUGUGAUAGGACUUGCUCCUUGAGCGGGCGACAGCCUCAGAAACCAGGCCCCUGCAACUGUUUAUUAAAAACAUAGCACUCUGCAAACACGAAAGUGGACGUAUAGGGUGUGAUGCCUGCCCGGUGCUGGAAGGUUAAUUGAUGGGGUUAGCGUAAGCGAAGCUCUUGAUCGAAGCCCCAGUAAACGGCGGCCGUAACAAUAACGGUCCUAAGGUAGCGAAAUUCCUUGUCGGGUAAGUUCCGACCUGCACGAAUGGCAUAAUGAUGGGGGCGCUGUCUCCAGCAGAGACUCAGUGAAAUCGAAUUCGCCGUGAAGAUGCGGUGUACCCGCGGCUAGACGGAAAGACCCCGUGAACCUUUACUGCAGCUUGACAUUGAACUUUGAUCUUACUUGUGUAGGAUAGGUGGGAGGCUUUGAAGCAGGCACGCCAGUGUCUGUGG